RNAcentral lists this ribosomal RNA (774 nucleotides) under uncultured Neocallimastigales. Its description in RNAcentral is "partial large subunit ribosomal RNA". It matches the Rfam family "Eukaryotic large subunit ribosomal RNA", at positions 22 to 647 of the family's 3401-position model. The record is from RNAcentral. Lineage: Eukaryota; Fungi; Neocallimastigomycota; Neocallimastigomycetes; Neocallimastigales.
CAUAGCGACUAUCGUGGCAUAUCAAUAAGCGGAGGAAAAGAAACUAACAAGGAUUCCCUUAGUAACGGCGAGUGAAGCGGGAAGAGCUCAAAUUUGAAAUCUUCAAGGUUUUACCUUGACGAAUUGUAGUUUAAAGAAGUGUUUCCUGUUGGAGUUUUGGUAAAAGUUCUUUGGAAUAGGACAUCAUAGAGGGUGAGAAUCCCGUAUUUGACCAUUAUUUCCAGCUGUGUGAUACACUUUCAAAGAGUCGGAUUGUUUGGGAAUGCAGUCCAAAAUGGGUGGUAAAUUUCAUCCAAAGCUAAAUAUUGGCGAGAGACCGAUAGCGAACAAGUACCGUGAGGGAAAGAUGAAAAGAACUUUGAAAAGAGAGUUAAACAGUACGUGAAAUUGUCAAAAGGGAAGCGUUUGACACCAGUGUUGUUUUUCCGAAAAUCAAUUACGAAUGUUUUGUUUUUGAGGAGUUAUGACUUCAUCGGCUUGCUCCUUUCUUUACGAAACUUUCUUAAUGCACUUUUCGGUUAACAAGUCAACAUCAAUUUCUUUUGUUGUAAAAGGGUAUGAGGAAGGUGGCUUUCUUUUCGGAGAAAGUGUUUAUAGCCUUGUGCCUCUGCAAUCGGAGAGAUUGAGGUCUGCAGCGUAGAUCCUUCGGGGUUAGAUACGUUUGUGCUAAGUUAUAGCUUUUCAUAGACAACUUGUUGACUAUGUUUAGUCUUGUAGCUUACUCGCUGACGCUAUUUUACCUACGCUUAGGAUGUUGACGAGACUGUCGAUCUC